RNAcentral lists this ribosomal RNA (812 nucleotides) under uncultured bacterium. Its description in RNAcentral is "bacterial SSU rRNA". It matches the Rfam family "Bacterial small subunit ribosomal RNA", at positions 58 to 916 of the family's 1533-position model. The record is from RNAcentral.
CAAGUCGAACGAACCUUCGGGUUAGUGGCGGACGGGUGAGUAACGCGUGAGAAUCUGCCCUCAGGAGGGGGAUAACGGCUGGAAACGGCCGCUAAUACCCCAUAUGCCGCGAGGUGAAAUGAAUUUCGCCUGAGGAUGAGCUCGCGUCUGAUUAGCUAGUUGGUGGGGUAAGAGCCUACCAAGGCAUCGAUCAGUAGCUGGUCCGAGAGGAUGAUCAGCCACACUGGGACUGAGACACGGCCCAGACUCCUACGGGAGGCAGCAGUGGGGAAUUUUCCGCAAUGGGCGCAAGCCUGACGGAGCAACGCCGCGUGAGGGAUGAAGGCCUCUGGGCUGUAAACCUCUUUUAUCAAGGAAGAAGAUCUGACGGUACUUGAUGAAUAAGCCACGGCUAAUUCCGUGCCAGCAGCCGCGGUAAUACGGGAGUGGCAAGCGUUAUCCGGAAUUAUUGGGCGUAAAGCGUCCGCAGGCGGUCUUGUAAGUCUGUCGUUAAAGCGUGGAGCUUAACUCCAUUUGAGCGAUGGAAACUGUAAGACUAGAGUGUGGUAGGGGCAGAGGGAAUUCCCGGUGUAGCGGUGAAAUGUGUAGAUAUCGGGAAGAACACCAGUGGCGAAGGCGCUCUGCUGGGCCAUAACUGACGCUCAUGGACGAAAGCCAGGGGAGCGAAAGGGAUUAGAUACCCCUGUAGUCCUGGCCGUAAACGAUGAACACUAGGUGUCGGGGGAAUCGACCCCCUCGGUGUCGUAGCCAACGCGUUAAGUGUUCCGCCUGGGGAGUACGCACGCAAGUGUGAAACUCAAAGGAAUUGACGG